CGGCAAUGGAGGAAACUCUGACCGAGCAACGCCGCGUGUAUGACGAAGUACUUCGGUAUGUAAAGUUCUUUUAUCAAGGAAGAAAAGCAAAUGGCGAACCAUUUGUUUGCCGGUACUUGAUGAAUAAGCCCCGGCUAAUUAUGUGCCAGCAGCCGCGGUAAGACAUAAGGGGCAAGUGUUAUCCGGAAUUAUUGGGCGUAAAGGGUGCGUAGGCGGUCUAGUAAGUCAGUGGUGUAAUGGCAACGCUUAACGUUGUCCGGCUAUUGAAACUGCUUAACUUGAGUUAGAUAGAGGCGAGUGGAAUUCCAUGUGUAGCGGUAAAAUGCGUAAAUAUAUGGAGGAACACCAGAGGCGUAGGCGGCUCGCUGGGUCUUAACUGACGCUGAGGCACGAAAGCGUGGGGAGCAAACAGGAUUAGAUACCCUGGUAGUCCACGCCGUAAACGAUGAGUACUAAGUGUCGGGUUAAACCGGUACUGAAGUUAACACAUUAAGUACUCCGCCUCAGUAGUACGUACGCAAGUAUGAAACUUAAAGGAAUUGACGGGACUCCGCACAAGCGGUGGAUCAUGUUGUUUAAUUCGAAGAUACCCGAAAAACCUUACCAGGUCUUGACAUGUUUUUGCAAAAUGAUAGUAAUAUCGUGGAGGUUACCAGAAACACAGGUGGUGCAUGGUUGUCGUCAGCUCGUGUCGUGAGAUGUUAGGUUAAGUCCUAAAACGAGCGAAACCCUUAUCGUUAGUUGCCAGCACGUUAUGGUGGGGACUUUAACGAGACUGCCAAUGAUAAAUUGGAGGAAGGUGAGGAUCACGUCAAAUCAGCAUGCCCCUUAUGACCUGGGCUACAAACGUGAUACAAUGGCUGUUACAAAGAGUUAGCUGAA
RNAcentral lists this ribosomal RNA (882 nucleotides) under 'Phoenix dactylifera' phytoplasma. Its description in RNAcentral is "bacterial SSU rRNA". It matches the Rfam family "Bacterial small subunit ribosomal RNA", at positions 366 to 1254 of the family's 1533-position model. Lineage: Bacteria; Bacillati; Mycoplasmatota; Mollicutes; Acholeplasmatales; Acholeplasmataceae. The record is from RNAcentral.